Long non-coding RNA from Rosa rugosa (rugosa rose), 3643 nucleotides. RefSeq lists it as uncharacterized. The record is from RefSeq and is a predicted model, not a curated record. NCBI's taxonomy places the organism in Eukaryota, Viridiplantae, Streptophyta, Magnoliopsida, Rosales, Rosaceae. The transcript has 5 exons.
GUUUCCAAUAUUUACAAUUUUUGCCCCUCUAGGACAUCUCUUGUCAGCAAUACCAUCCCUCUCACAUGGCUAUAGUAGGUAUGGCAGCAAGCUUCCAAUAUAAGACUGGACCCAGAUCAACCUCACUUCAUCAAAAUAUGACUCUUGCAAAGCAUCAGAUCUGAGAAGAACCUAUCUUUGGCGUCUGCCAAUCUCCUUCAUCCCAUGCGAGCUUGUGCGAAAGAUUUAUCUUACUCUCAACAGCCGUCCUUCUGAUCUAAUGCUACUGUAAGUUCCUUUUUUCAAUUUAUUGAACUUAAUAUAUCAAUUACUUCUACAAUUUUCAAGGAAUCGAAUUUAAUUCAUAGUAUAUACAUAAACCCUAAAUUUCUCUUCUAGUGGAUUGAAGAAUCGGUUCCCUUGGCUGCGUUUGAGUGUUCGCAAGCAAGAGUUUUGUUCUUCAUUUUUCUGAUUUUGUUUAUGUUUAUUUUUGAUUUUGAUAUAGAACCCAGAAAAGUAGCAGAGAGACUAUGUAUAUAGGCCUAUAGCAAGCUUAGGGAACGAUUUUAAUUACAAAAAUUUAUAUAAAACUUGGAGUUUUACUUGUUGGCGAAUCCAUAGUUGAAUUUUUUUCAGGUGGAUAUGUCUUUUUUUUUGGCUCAAUAAUUCAGCAAAUUCUUUUUUUUUUUCUUUGCACCUUAGAACGGGAGUUCAAUUAUAUCAAAAUACUAGUUUUUUUUUUUUUUUUUGUGUUUUGGGGGUGGGGGGGAUGUUGAUUAUUUAAAACUAAAGAUUAACAAUUUAGUUCUUUCUUAUUUCUUAAUGUUUGGAAAUUGUAAGUAUGAAUUCUAAAAAUAGCUUAUUCGGUUAAGAUUCUUGUCUGAUUUUAAAAUUUCAAGCUGUGAUAGAGCAGUUUGGUGGAACUGGUUAUGAAAGCUCAGAUGUAAUGGUGAUAGAUGAGGUUGAGAGACAGAGACAUCAACAGCUAGAGAAACUGUAUAGGUCUACUUGUGCAGGAAAGGCAUACAUGAACUUUGUUUACAUUGUAGAAUUUUGACUUCAAACUAUGGCUGAAAAAUUUGUACUACUCAAUGUGAUGAUAGUUAGUGUAUUGAUCUCACAUUUUGGGAAAGAACAAAGUUUGAUUUUAUAGGUGACAUGACAAUGAAACCUGCUAGGCAUAUAUAGGUGGCUAUUUGUUUUGCUAUCUUGGAUCACAAGUCUGGGAACAUCUUGUCCUGCUAAUCUAAAAUGUCAGAUUUUUUUGAGGUACCUAGUUGUCUGAGGAUUGUAAAAGGUAUGGAGCUGAAAAUGUCCCUGACAAAAUUUUAACUAAAGGUGCGUCUAUAUAUGUAAUAACCUCAUUUUCCAUUACCUUAAUUAUUGAAUUUUCUGGUUUUGGCACUAGAGUAGUGAUGAUUUCUUUUUUUAAAAAAAAGAAAAGAAAUCUGUGAGGCGUGUUGAGCAACAGUGAAGCAGUGCUUCUGCUUUACUUCUUUUGUAUAUUGAAUGAGAAUUGGUGGAAGGCGGUAGGCAGCACAGUGCUUCUGCUUUAGUUCUUUUGUAGUAUUGUAUGCGAUUGUUGGAAGGUGGUAAGCAAGCACAGAAGAGAAAAAAAAAAAGAGGAAAAGAAAUUCCACUCUCUCCCGUUCUCACGUCCGAAAACAACCCAAAGAACAGAGCAAAUUUCUCCAAGAUUUUUCUCGCUCCACAGGCCAUCGAUCGACCCCAGACCACGUCCCACGCCUUCGCCUCCUCCUUUCGCAGUUGCCGGUAACAGCCUUUCGCCGUCUCGUGGGCCGUACACGGCGGUGGAGCACAAGGCCGGUUUACCCCCGUUUUGAUUUCAAGCUUGAUAUCUCAAGCUACCAGUCACCACUCCUCACCAAACUCCAUCCACAAGCUCGCCUCAACGUCCUGAAGCUCCCAGAAGUGGCCUUGCACGGCGGCGCUACUCGUGGUGGCGGCUGGAAGCCAGACCCGAUCAAAUCGAAAACCGAAGCUUCGAGCAAUAUAUCUCGCGCUACAGGACGUUGUUUUGAGUGUUUCUUGAACUGGUGAACUCAGAGUGAGGAUCUGAACAACUUUCCAGAAGGUAUCGAGGUCUGAAGUUGCAGUUUUUACGUCGAACUAGGAGCUCGCCGGUUUCUGGGUUUUUCCGGCCAACCGACUGGUUUGAGGUAAUUUCUAUUCCUUCCGGUCAUUUUCAGACUUCGUGCUAGUUAUGAAAGUUGUCAAGCAUGAUGAGAGGAAGAAGAGCAGCCCGGCCCCGACACCAUUGGUGGUGGUCGGCGGCGGCUCUGCCACUAACUCCGGCGGCCCUUUCCGGCCACCUCCGGGGAUCAAAAAUAUGGUUUCUGUACAUUUUCAGAUUCUAUAUUUCAAUACGAUCAUUUUGAUAUAUUAUACACAAUUUUUGGAUAUCAUAUGAUUAAGUUAUGAAUUUUACGAUUUCGAUCGAUUUCGAUCGUUCGAUUUGUGAUAUGUGAAGAUCGGACCGUCCGAUGGACUUGUAGUUUUGAUAUGUUGAUCUUAUGACUGUCCCAGUGGCUUUGUGUGGUCAUGGGCGAAGAUCCGACCGUUGGAUCUUCGUAUAAUUGCUAAACAGUGACUAGGAGGCGAUUCGUGAGAAUCCGUCCGUUGAAUUUUCGUAUAAAUUAGCGGAGAUGUUAGUAAGGACGAUUCAGGAAGAUCUGACCGUUGGAUCUUCGUGAUGAUUUUUGGAGGAUGAUCCUAAAGGCGAUCUGUGAGGAUCCGACCGUUGGAUCAUCAUUUAAUUUCGAUCCGACCGUUGGAUUGUCGUUUGAUUAUGUUUUUGAGUUAUUGGCUAAGUUAAGGUCAUGUCUGAUUAGGUGAUCGACGGUUUGAUUUGGCGGACGAUUCGUGAAAGUGUAUUUUGAGCUGUUAAGAAGACGCAGCGGGAAUUUAGAGCGGGAAAUCCUACAGGUCAGGAGAACCAGGACGGUGAUCGGGCUGCUUAGAGUAGUGUUAUGUGAAUUACAGCAUUAUAUUGUGAGGUUUGUUAUGCUCAUUUAGAGCUUUGCAAUUUUACUUUGUAAGAGUGAAUUGUAAUAAUUAACUCGAGGGUUUCGAGUUUUUGUGUUGAGUGGCGAGUGGUGUGUUUGUUUGUGAGAAAAAAAUUCAGAACGUUAUUUGUAUUAAUUGUUUAUUCAUGUUUCGGAUUUGAAUUGGUUAUUCAAAAUUCGGGGCGUGACAAUAUACUUUGAUGCUCGUAAGCAUGUGGAAAGGAACAAGAAGACUUGAAUAAGUUGUUAUCUUCACAGGAUUCUAUUUUGAAACAGACUUUGAACCGGGAAUGGUCAUUCACCCAAACAAAUGGAAUGAACAAUCUCACAUUAAUCGUUGAUGAAGUGGCAUGGGACAAACCGAAGCUUAAUGACUUUCUGAUGAAACUGUGAUGUAUGAAUCAACCUGCUCAAGACCUUGAGACAACAAUAUCAUGCAGUUUUUCCUUAUUGAGCUUUACUAGUGAAAGAAACAUCGACUUAUUGACCAUGAAUGUAUACUUGUGCGCAUAGGCUUGUAAGUUGUAAUAGGUUUCUUUAUUAGGUAGUGCAAUAAGCUGUAGUUACAUUUGUAACAAACGGUAGAUUUUGAUUGAAUGAUGAUGUAUAUCAAUAAAUUGGUAGACAUCAUUCAUGUA